This 304-nucleotide unclassified non-coding RNA is filed under the name uncultured Sebacinales. RNAcentral describes it as "sequence contains ITS2". The record is from RNAcentral. Lineage: Eukaryota; Fungi; Basidiomycota; Agaricomycetes; Sebacinales.
AACGCACCUUGCACCCUUUGGUAUUCCGAAGGGUACACCCGUUUGAGUGUCAUUGUAAUCUCACUACGAUCGACUUUUUGUCUUUCCGUAUGUGGACUUGGAUGCUGCCGUGAUAUUCACGACUCGUCUGAAAUGCCUGAGUGUACCCUGCUUUGCGGCGUAUUCGGUGUGAUACAUCUUCACCGGAGUUGAUCCUUUUGGGUCGCGUCUGUAAUGGUGUGGCUCUAUGCUUCGAACCGUCUCCAAGAGAGACAACCUCUGACAAUUUGACCUCAAAUCGGGUGGGACUACCCGCUGAACUUAA